ACCAUCACUCACCAAGAAAAGAACAAUAACAGGACCUGUUUUGCUAAUCCAGGACUGUUCUCCAGCACUAACUCUAAAUAAUCCCUUCUGCUAGAGUCCACUUUCUGGAACCUGUUGCCUCCGUUUUCAACGUUUCCCAAACUUGGUCCGUUGUGUGAGCUGGCUGAUAAAAGUUCCAGGGAGAGGACAUCUUACUCUUAUUGGAUCAUGCACAGUGCCUGAAGCAUUCUGUUGCAUGUAGAAAUCAGUAAAUUGCAGAUGUAAGAUUCAAAACCAGACUUCACAUCUACCGACUUCAGUGACCCUGAAAUUUGUUCACAGAGAGCAUUUAACAUAACUGUCUUCAUCAUCUCCUUCUCUACAUUAAAAAUUAUGGGCAACAGAAAGAAACUGACGGUCUGCUAUUUGUCUCCAGAGGCCUUACAAACUGGUAGAAGAUGCAUAACAGAAGAGCUUAUGAAGUUAAAGAUGACAGCAUAGCAGCACUGGUGAGAUCCUUUUAGACAUAACAUGGUAGGAAGGACUGUUUGACAAAGUGAAUGCCUGUCUUUCAGAAAAUACAGGGAGGUGUGAUGUACCCAUUAUCACAAGCAGAUGGAAUGCCUAUAGAGUCGGAUCUCAUCUACAUAUCACCUAUUAUAUGUAGUUAUUGAUGGAUAAAUACUUCAACAGCUAAAGGCAGGAAGAGAGCAGUUCACACAGACGUUAUUGGUGAUUCACUCUUGAGUCAUGAAAAGUCAACCUUGAGCCACAGAAAGUCAACCUUGAGCCAUGCAGAGUGGAGAGUCAUACAUGCCAUUCCUGGGACCAUCAAAAAUGGCAGAG
This 825-nucleotide long non-coding RNA is filed under the name Pan troglodytes (chimpanzee). RNAcentral's name for it is "lincRNA". Lineage: Eukaryota; Metazoa; Chordata; Mammalia; Primates; Hominidae. The record is from RNAcentral.